AUACUUACCUGGCAGGGGAGAUACCAUGAUCACGGAGGUGGUUUUCCCAGGGCGAGGCUUAUCCAUUGCACUCCAGAUGUGCUGACCCCUGCGAUUUCCCCAAACGUGGGAAACUCGACUGCAUAAUUUGUGGUAGUGGGGGACUGCGUUCGCGCUUUCCCCUG
Molecule: small nuclear RNA, 164 nt
Filed under: Cervus elaphus hippelaphus
Lineage: Eukaryota; Metazoa; Chordata; Mammalia; Artiodactyla; Cervidae
Also listed under: 1 other name
Description: U1 spliceosomal RNA
Rfam family: U1 spliceosomal RNA
About the family: U1 is a small nuclear RNA (snRNA) component of the spliceosome (involved in pre-mRNA splicing). Its 5' end forms complementary base pairs with the 5' splice junction, thus defining the 5' donor site of an intron. There are significant differences in sequence and secondary structure between metazoan and yeast U1 snRNAs, the latter being much longer (568 nucleotides as compared to 164 nucleotides in human).
Source: Rfam by way of RNAcentral